This 492-nucleotide ribosomal RNA is filed under the name uncultured bacterium. RNAcentral describes it as "partial 16S ribosomal RNA". It matches the Rfam family "Bacterial small subunit ribosomal RNA", at positions 29 to 507 of the family's 1533-position model. The record is from RNAcentral.
AGUGAACGCUGGCGGUAGGCCUAACACAUGCAAGUCGAACGGCAGCACAGUAAGAGCUUGCUCUUACGGGUGGCGAGUGGCGGACGGGUGAGGAAUACAUCGGAAUCUACUUUUUCGUGGGGGAUAACGUAGGGAAACUUACGCUAAUACCGCAUAUGUCCUACGGGUGAAAGCAGGGGAUCUUCGGACCUUGCGUGAUUGAAUGAGCCGAUGUCGGAUGAGCUAGUUGGCGGGGUAAAGGCCCACCAAGGCGACGAUCCGUAGCUGGUCUGAGAGGAUGGUCAGCCACAAUGGAACUGAGCCACGGUCCAGACUCCUACGGGAGGCAGAAGUGGGGAAUAUUGGACAAUGGGCGCAAGCCUGAUCCAGCCAUACCGCGUGGGUGAAGAAGGCCUUCGGGUUGUAAAGCCCUUUUGUUGGGAAAGAAAAGCAGCAGGUUAAUACCCCGCUGUUCUGACGGUACCCAAAGAAUAAGCACCGGCUAACUUCGUG